RNAcentral lists this small RNA (61 nucleotides) under Oryza sativa Japonica Group (Japanese rice). RNAcentral describes it as "sRNA Os07g0485234". The record is from RNAcentral. Lineage: Eukaryota; Viridiplantae; Streptophyta; Magnoliopsida; Poales; Poaceae.
UUAUAAUGGCACUUCUCUAAUUCGACACAAUUGUAAUGGCAUGGAUCCAAUUAACCUUUUU